GUACAUUUCAAAACUAUUAAGAAAUGAGUAUAAUUGUGAUGGAUGUGUUACUUAGCUCAAUAUAAGCAUUUCACAUUGUAUAUUGAAGCAGUACCCUGAACCCCAUAAAUGCAUCAACGUGCGUAGUUACGAUUUAAUAAGAAAAAGAAAAACAUGGAGGCCAGUAACAGAGAACACACAUGAUCUGCCUUGCCCACUUGACAAUACUUUGUGUCCUUUCAAGGUAAUGUGACUUUUUUUGCCAUUUUAGGUGGGGGCUGGGUUUGAACCCUCCACCUCCAGUAUAUGGGACCAGCACCCUACUCCUUUGAGCCACAGGCACCGCCCAAGGAAAUGAGUGCUUUGCAAGUGGCUUAUUCAAAAGGUUUUGCCAGGGUGGCCACUGUGUUGGUUGACAAGAACUGUGAUCUGAACAUCAGAGAUGCUGAAGAGAGGACACCUCUGAUAAAGGAUGCUGAUUUUUUGAGCCUAGGUAAUUUCAUAAUAGAGAAACUCUUGAUUAAUCUCCUCUGUGGGAACUCUAGCUGCCUCUCCCAUAUCACUGUCCAUCAUCAGCAAGAAGCAGUUAAGAGCGGUCAGUGUCCUGUUUCCCUAAGAGGCAUGUGGAACUUCUAUGCAGAGUGAGAAGAUUGAUACAGGAUUUCAUUAUUUUGGGCUAAAUAACAAGCCACAGCAGGAAGGAAAGCUCCUCGGUGAGAUCGGCUGAAAUAACCAAUAACAGAUUUUCUCCCUUGCCUAUCCAGAAAUGUCUUUAAUACACGGGGGUGGGGUGGGGUGGCGAAUGUAGAGGACGCCAAGAUACACAUGACUUCUGAGCAAGAUGAUUUGUGGCUGGGGGGCGGACCCUCAGGCAAUUCAUCCACAGAUGUUCACUUGUGGAGAAAGAGCCUGAGCCCAUGUUGAUCCCUAGGCAUGCAGUCAUUGUCUAAUACUCCCCUCACCUGUCUUGUACUGUCUCAAUAAAAGGCUACUAUGGAGGUUUCUCAGGGCUACCCUGCAAUCAAGGUUAGCCCGCCUCCUGCAAGCUUGUACUUCUAAUCUGGUCAGGCCUGGUUCCUUCCUGCUGCUAUCAAGACCAGGGCCAUAGGGGUUGCGACACACAUUGGCCACUACAAAAAUUUUUUUUAAAUUGAGGUUUGAUGGUUCAUGCCUGUAGUUCUCAGCUAUUCAGCAGGUUGUGAAAGGAGGGUCACUUGGUUGGAAGACGCAGUGAGAUAUGAUCAGAGCACUGCACUUCAGUCUGAGCACUGGAACAAGACCCUGUCUCUAAAGCAUUUACUAAUAAAUAAUUCAGAUUUUACAAUCUUCAUGUACUCUGUUUUUUUAAGGAGGCAGCCAGAGUUUUGAAAAGGGAGCAGGCAAUGUCUGCUAGAAUUAAACAGCCCUGUGCAUG
This is a long non-coding RNA of Nycticebus coucang (slow loris), 1393 nucleotides long. RefSeq lists it as uncharacterized. The transcript has 4 exons. The record is from RefSeq and is a predicted model, not a curated record. Lineage: Eukaryota; Metazoa; Chordata; Mammalia; Primates; Lorisidae.